Molecule: ribosomal RNA, 465 nt
Filed under: Vreelandella stevensii
Lineage: Bacteria; Pseudomonadati; Pseudomonadota; Gammaproteobacteria; Oceanospirillales; Halomonadaceae
Description: partial 16S ribosomal RNA
Rfam family: Bacterial small subunit ribosomal RNA
Source: RNAcentral
CCUACGGGUGGCAGCAGUGGGGAAUAUUGGACAAUGGGCGAAAGCCUGAUCCAGCCAUGCCGCGUGUGUGAAGAAGGCCUUCGGGUUGUAAAGCACUUUCAGUGGGGAAGAAAGCCUUGGGGCUAAUACCCUCGAGGAAGGACAUCACCCACAGAAGAAGCACCGGCUAACUCCGUGCCAGCAGCCGCGGUAAUACGGAGGGUGCGAGCGUUAAUCGGAAUUACUGGGCGUAAAGCGCGCGUAGGCGGUCUGAUAAGCCGGUUGUGAAAGCCCCGGGCUCAACCUGGGAACGGCAUCCGGAACUGUCAAGCUAGAGUGCAGGAGAGGAAGGUAGAAUUCCCGGUGUAGCGGUGAAAUGCGUAGAGAUCGGGAGGAAUACCAGUGGCGAAGGCGGCCUUCUGGACUGACACUGACGCUGAGGUGCGAAAGCGUGGGUAGCAAACAGGAUUAGAUACCCGAGUAGUC